RNAcentral lists this long non-coding RNA (624 nucleotides) under Oryza sativa Indica Group (long-grained rice). RNAcentral's name for it is "lncRNA OsKYG_08g0009750". The record is from RNAcentral. Lineage: Eukaryota; Viridiplantae; Streptophyta; Magnoliopsida; Poales; Poaceae.
AUCGGGGCGCUGGCUGAGACCGAGCGGCGGCGGCUCGUUGCGAUCGGGGCAGCACCCGCUUCUCCCGUCCAAUCCGGCGGUGGCUCGGUGACGAGAGGAGGGGCGGCGAGAGCACGGCUCCUCCCUCGCCUCUUCUCCCCUCCAAUCCCGGUGGCAGCGGCGGCGGCGGCUCCGCGACAAGGAAGGGCGGCGGGAGCUUGGUUCCUCCCUCCCCUCUUCUCCCCUUCAAUCCCGGCGGCGGCUCGGCGACAAGUAAGGACGGCGGGAGCUCGGCUCCUCCCUCACCUCUUCUCCUCUUCUCAUCCCCGCUUCUCCUCUCUAAUCCCGGUGGGGUGGUGUGCGGGACAAGGGCGGCGGCUCAGCGGCGACGACGACGACAGCGACAAGGGAGGGGCCUUGGCGACUUUGACGACGACCGCGACGACGGAGGGCCUCGUCGACAACGACGGCGCGCGGUGGACGGCGACGAGCGGAUCCGGCACCACCUCCUCCAUCCACCGCGCCACCUCCAUCUCCGCCCCCAGCCACCUCUUCACCCUUCCCCGCCUCGCUCCCCUAGCCAGUGAAGGACGGUGGCGCGCGGAUCUGCCGCCUCCCGUCGUCGGGAGCGACGGCGGCGCAUGA